CUUAGCAGCCAUAUCACCCUGCAACUCACAACUGGCAACCCACUGAAGAUAAGCAGGUGUGAGCCUGGUCAGUACCUGGAUGGGAGACCUCCUGGGAAAAUCUAAGGUUGCUGCUGGAA
Ribosomal RNA from Lepisosteus oculatus (spotted gar), 119 nucleotides. NCBI's taxonomy places the organism in Eukaryota, Metazoa, Chordata, Actinopteri, Semionotiformes, Lepisosteidae. The record is from Ensembl.